This 128-nucleotide ribosomal RNA is filed under the name Diaphorina citri (Asian citrus psyllid). Lineage: Eukaryota; Metazoa; Arthropoda; Insecta; Hemiptera; Psyllidae. The record is from RNAcentral.
AUUAGUAAUCUUAGCACGUUGAAUGCACCACUUCCCGAGUUCCCAAUGGAUUACACUGCAGUUAAGCAACGUGACCCGUGGUCCAUAUCAGGAUGGGUGACCAUCUGGAUAAUCGCAUGUUGCUGGCU